CGAGACCUACAAGUCGAGCAGGGACGAAAGUCGGGCUUAGUGAUCCGGUGGUUCCGCAUGGAAGGGCCAUCGCUCAACGGAUAAAAGCUACCCCGGGGAUAACAGGCUUAUCUCCCCCAAGAGUCCCCAUCGACGGGGAGGUUUGGCACCUCGAUGUCGGCUCAUCGCAUCCUGGGGCUGUAGUCGGUCCCAAGGGUUGGGCUGUUCGCCCAUUAAAGCGGUACGCGAGCUGGGUUCAGAACGUCGUGAGACAGUUCGGUCCCUAUCCGUCGCGGGCGCAGGAAAUUUGAGAGGAGCUGUCCUUAGUACGAGAGGACCGGGAUGG
RNAcentral lists this ribosomal RNA (325 nucleotides) under Bacillus velezensis. RNAcentral describes it as "bacterial LSU rRNA". It matches the Rfam family "Bacterial large subunit ribosomal RNA", at positions 2376 to 2700 of the family's 2925-position model. The record is from RNAcentral. Lineage: Bacteria; Bacillati; Bacillota; Bacilli; Caryophanales; Bacillaceae.